Molecule: ribosomal RNA, 253 nt
Filed under: uncultured bacterium
Lineage: Bacteria
Description: partial 16S ribosomal RNA
Rfam family: Bacterial small subunit ribosomal RNA
Source: RNAcentral
UACGUAGGGGGCAAGCGUUGUCCGGAUUUAUUGGGCGUAAAGAGCGUGUAGGCGGCCAGAUAGGUCCGUUGUGAAAACUCGAGGCUCAACCUCGAGACGCCGAUGGAAACCAUUUGGCUAGAGUCCGGAAGAGGAGAGUGGAAUUCCUGGUGUAGCGGUGAAAUGCGCAGAUAUCAGGAAGAACACCCGUGGCGAAGGCGGCUCCCUGGUCCGUUACUGACGCUGAGACGCGAAAGCGCGGGGAGCGAACGGG